CAGAGGCCUGGGGUGCGGCCAGGGCGCUCAGGAAGCCUGAAGCCGCUCCCUCACACUCGCUCACAGGAGGUCUUUAUGGCUGUGGCCAGAAAAGGCCCUCAAUGCAGCAGGCCCAGAGGUCCGAUAAGGGUCAGAGACAGCCAGACUACCUUGGGCUGAAAACAUCCAAGCAUCACCCCGGACGUGCCCCGCUCAGGUCCCCUAACAGGCCCGGCUUUAAAAAGCAGUGUGUUUUGAACUCGUCGCGAAGUACAUUCUGUAAUUCCUGACCAAAAUACCAACUGACGUAAAAGAAGCUCAUUUAUGGAAAAAAAUAUUUUGCUUGGAGAUGGACCCCUGGAUGCUCGUGGAGGGCCCGUUUUCCAGCAUGAAAUAUUUGAAAAGGAAAACACAUUGGUGGAGGAAUGGGAUUAUCAGAUAUGAAAGAUAAAAUCUUUUAACAUUGGAUUCCUGAUGCAAGAAUGGAAUGGAAAAGAGUAGAAUCAGCCUGAAGUUAUAUAAACAUGAAAUACAUGCAAUGAUGACCUUUCAAAUCAGUAGGGAAAGCUUGGAUUGUUUUUCAGUCAACACUUUGGGCAAACGGCCAACCCCUUGAAACUAAAUAAAGUUAGAUUCCUGUUUCUUGUUCUA
This is a long non-coding RNA of Suricata suricatta (meerkat), 630 nucleotides long. RefSeq lists it as uncharacterized. The record is from RefSeq and is a predicted model, not a curated record. NCBI's taxonomy places the organism in Eukaryota, Metazoa, Chordata, Mammalia, Carnivora, Herpestidae. The transcript has 3 exons.